UACGUAGGGGGCAAGCGUUGUCCGGAUUUAUUGGGCGUAAAGAGCGUGUAGGCGGCCGUGUAGGUCUGACGUGAAAUCUGGAGGCUCAACCUCCAGCUGUCGUUGGAAACCGCUCGGCUAGAGUCCGGAAGAGGAGAGUGGAAUUCCUGGUGUAGCGGUGAAAUGCGCAGAUAUCAGGAAGAACACCGAUGGCGAAAGCAGCUCUCUGGGACGGUACUGACGCUGAGGCGCGAAAGCGUGGGGAGCGAACAGG
This 253-nucleotide ribosomal RNA is filed under the name uncultured bacterium. Its description in RNAcentral is "partial 16S ribosomal RNA". It matches the Rfam family "Bacterial small subunit ribosomal RNA", at positions 524 to 776 of the family's 1533-position model. The record is from RNAcentral.